AGCCCAGACCACCAGUUAAGGCCCCAAAAUAACUACUAAGUGAUAAAGGAUGUAUUGGUACAUAGACAACCAGGAGGUUUGCUUAGAAGCAGCAAUCCUUUAAAAAUAGCGUAAUAGCUUACUGGUCAAGUGCCUUUGCGCCGAUAAUGAACGGGGCUAAGUAGUUUGCCGAAACUGUGGGUAAAAACGGUAGAAGAGCGUUCUGUGUGGAUUGAAGUAAUAGCGAAAGCAAUUAUGGACUUAACAGAAGUGAGAAUGUCGGCUUAAGUAACGAAAACAUUGGUGAGAAUCCAAUGCUCCGAAAACCCAAGGUUUCCUUCGCAAGGUUCGUCCUCGGAGGGUUAGUCAGGUCCUAAGAUCAGGCCUAAAGGCGUAGUCGAUGGUUAACAGGUUGAUAUUCCUGUACUACAUUAAAUCUGCUUACGGAUGACGAAGGAGGCUAAACUUACCAGAUUUUGGUUGUUCUGGUCUAAAUUAUCAAGGCGUUGAGAAGAAUUAAAUAAAAAAUUCUUUGAGCUAAGAUGUGAAUGGUAGAGUGUUACGGCAUUUGAAAAGUUGAUGUCAUACUUCCUAGAAAAAUCCCUGUAAUGUUUAUUUUUUAUGUACCUGUACCGUAAACUGACACAGGUGGGUGGGUAGAGUAUACUAAGGAGCGCGAGCUAACUCUUUUUAAGGAACUCGGCAAAAUAGUCUUGUAACUUCGGGAGAAAAGAUGCCUUGUUUUAUAACAAGGUCGCAGUGACCAGAUCUAGGCGACUGUUUACCAAAAACACAGGUCUCAGCAAAGUCGAAAGACGAAGUAUUGGGGCUGACGCCUGCCCAGUGCUAGAAGGUUAAAGAAACCGGUUAGCUUUGCAAAGCUGGUGACUGAAGCCCUAGUGAACGGCAGCAAUAACUAUAACUGUUCUAAGGUAGCGAAAUUCCUUGUCGGGUAAGUUCCGACCCGCACGAAAGGCGUAACGAUCUAGAAACUGUCUCAAAAAGAGGCUCGGUGAAAUAGAAUUAACUGUGAAGAUGCGGUUAACUUGCACUUGGACAGAAAGACCCUAUGAAGCUUUACUGUAACCUGAUAUUGAUUUUGGACUUUUUUUGCGCAGCAUAGGUGGGAGGCUAUGAUGCUUUCUUUCGGGAAAGUUGAGCCAUCAGUGAGAUACCACUCUGAAAAAGUUAGAAAUCUAAUGACAUGGCUUAUAACAGAAUGUUUGACAUUGUCAGGCGGGCAGUUUUACUGGGGCGGUAGCCUCCUAAAAGGUAACGGAGGCGUACAAAGGUUUUCUCAGACUGGACGGAAAUUUGUUGCAGAGUGUAAAGGCAAAAGAAAGCUUAACUGUUAGACUUACAAGUCAAGCAGAGACGAAAGUCGGUCUUAGUGAUCCGACGGUUCCGAAUGUAAGGGCCGUCGCUUAACGGAUAAAAGUUACUCUAGGGAUAACAGGCUGAUCUCCUCCAAGAGUUCACAUCGACGAGGAGGUUUGGCACCUCGAUGUCGGCUCAUCGCAACCUGGAGCGGUAGUACGUUCCAAGGGUCGGGCUGUUCGCCCGUUAAAGCGGUACGUGAGCUGGGUUCAGAACGUCGAGAGACAGUUCGGUCCAUAUCCGGUGUGAGCGUUAGAAUAUUGAGGUAAGAUUUUUCUAGUACGAGAGGACCGAAAAAUACACACCGCUGGUGUACCAGUUCUUAUACCAAUGAGAAAUGCUGGGUAGUCAUGUGUGGAGUGGAUAACUGCUG
RNAcentral lists this ribosomal RNA (1729 nucleotides) under Phacus claviformis. RNAcentral describes it as "bacterial LSU rRNA". It matches the Rfam family "Bacterial large subunit ribosomal RNA", at positions 1024 to 2773 of the family's 2925-position model. The record is from RNAcentral. Lineage: Eukaryota; Euglenozoa; Euglenophyceae; Euglenales; Phacaceae.